This 497-nucleotide ribosomal RNA is filed under the name uncultured bacterium. RNAcentral's name for it is "partial 16S ribosomal RNA". It matches the Rfam family "Bacterial small subunit ribosomal RNA", at positions 28 to 507 of the family's 1533-position model. The record is from RNAcentral.
GACGAACGCUGGCGGCGUGCCUAAUACAUGCAAGUUGAGCGAUGAAGAUUGGUGCUUGCACCAAUUUGAAAAGCAGCGAACGGGUGAGUAACGCGUGGGGAAUCUGCCUUUGAGCGGGGGACAACAUUUGGAAACGAAUGCUAAUACCGCAUAACAACUUUAAACAUAAGUUUUAAGUUUGAAAGAUGCAAUUGCAUCACUCAAAGAUGAUCCCGCGUUGUAUUAGCUAGUUGGUGAGGUAAAGGCUCACCAAGGCGAUGAUACAUAGCCGACCUGAGAGGGUGAUCGGCCACAUUGGGACUGAGACACGGCCCAAACUCCUACGGGAGGCAGCAGUAGGGAAUCUUCGGCAAUGGACGAAAGUCUGACCGAGCAACGCCGCGUGAGUGAAGAAGGGUUUCGGAUCGUAAAACUCUGUUGGUAGAGAAGAACGUUGGUGAGAGUGGAAAGCUCAUCAAGUGACGGUAACUACCCAGAAAGGGACGGCUAACUACGUG